GUUGACAACGCCUCACAUAACGUGUCGC
This 28-nucleotide ribosomal RNA is filed under the name Lotmaria passim. Its description in RNAcentral is "partial 5.8S ribosomal RNA". The record is from RNAcentral. Lineage: Eukaryota; Euglenozoa; Kinetoplastea; Trypanosomatida; Trypanosomatidae.